Molecule: ribosomal RNA, 503 nt
Filed under: uncultured bacterium
Lineage: Bacteria
Description: bacterial SSU rRNA
Rfam family: Bacterial small subunit ribosomal RNA
Source: RNAcentral
GAGUUUGAUCAUGGCUCAGAUUGAACGCUGGCGGCAGGCCUAACACAUGCAAGUCGAGCGGUAGAGAGAAGCUUGCUUCUCUUGAGAGCGGCGGACGGGUGAGUAAUGCCUAGGAAUCUGCCUGGUAGUGGGGGAUAACGCUCGGAAACGGACGCUAAUACCGCAUACGUCCUACGGGAGAAAGCAGGGGACCUUCGGGCCUUGCGCUAUCAGAUGAGCCUAGGUCGGAUUAGCUAGUUGGUGAGGUAAUGGCUCACCAAGGCGACGAUCCGUAACUGGUCUGAGAGGAUGAUCAGUCACACUGGAACUGAGACACGGUCCAGACUCCUACGGGAGGCAGCAGUGGGGAAUAUUGGACAAUGGGCGAAAGCCUGAUCCAGCCAUGCCGCGUGUGUGAAGAAGGUCUUCGGAUUGUAAAGCACUUUAAGUUGGGAGGAAGGGCAGUAAAUUAAUACUUUGCUGUUUUGACGUUACCGACAGAAUAAGCACCGGCUAACUCUGUG